This 116-nucleotide ribosomal RNA is filed under the name Gammaproteobacteria bacterium SCGC AG-212-F23. Lineage: Bacteria; Pseudomonadati; Pseudomonadota; Gammaproteobacteria. The record is from RNAcentral.
CCUGGUGACCAUAGCGAGUAGGAACCACCUGAUCCCAUCCCGAACUCAGAAGUGAAACUGCUCCGCGCCGAUGCUAGUGUGAGGUUUCCUCAUGUGAAAGUAGGUCAUUGCCAGGC